Molecule: ribosomal RNA, 459 nt
Filed under: uncultured bacterium
Lineage: Bacteria
Description: partial 16S ribosomal RNA
Rfam family: Bacterial small subunit ribosomal RNA
Source: RNAcentral
CCUACGGGGGGCAGCAGUGAGGAAUAUUGGUCAAUGGGCGGGAGCCUGAACCAGCCAAGCCGCGUGAAGGAAGAAGGCGCCAAGCGUCGUAAACUUCUUUUGUCGGGGAACAAAGGGCGCCACGUGUGGCGUUGUGAGUGUACCCGAAGAAAAAGCAUCGGCUAACUCCGUGCCAGCAGCCGCGGUAAUACGGAGGAUGCGAGCGUUAUCCGGAUUUAUUGGGUUUAACGGGUGCGUAGGCGGUCCGGAAAGUCAGCGGGAAAAGCCCGGGGCGCAACCCCGGCGAGCCGUUGAAACUGUCGGACUAGAGACGGCGAGAGGUACGCGGAAUGCGCGGUGUAGCGGUGAAAUGCAUAGAUAUCAGGAGGAAUACCGUUAGCGAAGGCGGCAAUCUGGCUGGAAACUGACGCUGAGGUGCGAAAGCGUGGGUAGCAAACAGGAUUAGAUACCCUAGUAGUC